This 298-nucleotide long non-coding RNA is filed under the name Elaeis guineensis (African oil palm). Its description in RNAcentral is "long non-coding RNA (EGUI_LNC036431)". Lineage: Eukaryota; Viridiplantae; Streptophyta; Magnoliopsida; Arecales; Arecaceae. The record is from RNAcentral.
GGGGGCGGGGGUUGGAGAACUCGGCAUCCCCGGCAAGGGGGCUGCGACAGUAGUGGCGGCUGGCGAGGGACCGGUCUCGUCUUCAGACUCCUCGCCUAGGAAGCUGAGGUCGAGCUCUGGAAAUUUUCUGGCCACCUUCUCCUGGCAGAGCUCGAACCCCCUUAUGAACGCUUCCUGGCCAAAUUGGACCUUCAGGUCCCUCAUCUCCGCGGAGGCCUUGAAUUCCUCUACCGCAAGGACUCUGGCCUCCGAGACCAGGACCAAAAUUUGCUCGGCCAAGUUGGCGACCUCGGCCUCC